UUAAAGGAGAGCACACCAUUCCAGUGA
RNAcentral lists this non-coding RNA (27 nucleotides) under Homo sapiens (human). Lineage: Eukaryota; Metazoa; Chordata; Mammalia; Primates; Hominidae. The record is from RNAcentral.